UUCAAACUGAGUAUAUUUACCUGCCUGUUGCAAAAGUAUUUUUGGACAAACCUUUUAUUAUUUGAAUUAGUAAUUUUCUCAAUUAAUUGAAUUUCAUGCUGCCUAGUAGCUCUGACAGAAACCAUUCUGUAGAGGUAAUUCUAAAGGUGAGACUUGGAAGUAAAGAAUCAGUGUCACUUACUGGCUCAGUAAACCCAUCCUCCAAUUCCUGUUGAAGCUGAGAAGAGUUGCCAUCUCUUCUUGAGUCAAUUCAAAGUCAAAGACCUAACAAGAGAAAAAGCUGGAAAUCACCUCUUUGAAAGAAAUGGAACAGCGUGAAGAAGAUGGACAGGCUGAGAAAGCAUAUUCCCUGUGGCGGAUCCAUUUUGUGUCACGUACUGCUGACUUAAGAGAUAGAGGGCAGCACUUUUUAUGAACACAAGGACUUCUUUAUGAUCACUAUUCUGUCAGAUUUUUCUGCUAUAUUACUGUUCUUGGCCUCCAAGCCUGCUCAGAAUAAUUCCUCAGUAGAGGUAAAAAGGCAGAUAGAAAAAGCCCUGUGGUCUUUUCUGAGAAGGACUUGGGAAGGAUCCCUACUUGCUCUUCAGGAAACAGUGAUGCCAGGUCACUUGUAAUCACCCACCUUGAAGUUCUCCACAAUGCGCUGUGGUGUGACAGACUUGGGGAUCACAAUCACAUUUCUCUGGAUCUGGAAGCGAAGGAGAACCUGCAGGAAGAGACCAUCAAAUCAGAGAGAAGACAGGUGGUGUUACCACAGAAGCUGAGUGUGCUCAGCAGUGGUUUGCCAUGUGUGCAGCCACCUUUAUACAGCAGUGUUUCAAGUCAUUCCUGUCAUAUAGCCUGGGUAGGGCUCCCUGACGAGCAAAAAGGGAAGUAGUGGGUCACCACACGGGAGGCCUCCUCUCUGAUCUGGUUUUGAGACAAUUGGUUAUUUUCUUUCUUACCUGGAGUUUCAGUAAUUUCUACACUGCUGUCAUUCUGUGCAGCAGAACUUGAGCGGAGAAGCGAUGCCUGAAGAUGAGUCAAGAAUCUUUUCUUUGUUUAUGGCCAAAGAAAUAAGAGUUGCAUAUAUUGCAAGCCAUUCAAGGAAUAAUCUGCAUUGUUAGGGAAUAAUCAGAGGAGUGCCACAGCUUGUAGAGAAUGGAUUUAGAUUUUAU
This 1157-nucleotide long non-coding RNA is filed under the name Gallus gallus (chicken). The record is from RNAcentral. Lineage: Eukaryota; Metazoa; Chordata; Aves; Galliformes; Phasianidae.